CUGUGCAAACAUCAGUUGAAAAAAUAUUUUCCAACCGCUAAGUGUUCCAGUUUUCUGUGUGCUCUGAAUAUCAAGAAAUAGUGAAAAAAGCAAUUCGUUCCAUUCACUGUAUUCUGACCAAGUGGUUGUGACAAAGUUGUGGUAAUAUCUGCAAGCUUACGGCUUUAUUUUUCACGCGGAAUUAUCAUCAAAUAUAACAUAAAAAAAAGGUGUCGUUGAUUAGUGACUAAACGCGGCUUUUACGUAUAAAACUUAAAACUUUACACACAAAAAAAAAAACACAGAUACCUAGAGUGUAUUAGUGUGCUGACUAUUACCUGAUAAGCCAAAUACACUCGGGCUUCGUGGAGCGCAACUCCGGAGUAUCUUCUAAAGCGCUAUCUUCCUUGUUGUCGUUACACAUAGCUGGAGAGUACGUUAGAGUUUUGGUAUCGCAUUUUUCGGCGAAGUAACGAAAGACGUACAGACCGAAGUGAAAAGUAAAGCAACAAUAGUACUGAC
This is a long non-coding RNA of Anopheles arabiensis, 501 nucleotides long. RefSeq lists it as uncharacterized. The record is from RefSeq and is a predicted model, not a curated record. NCBI's taxonomy places the organism in Eukaryota, Metazoa, Arthropoda, Insecta, Diptera, Culicidae. The transcript has 3 exons.